RNAcentral lists this non-coding RNA (21 nucleotides) under Caenorhabditis elegans. Lineage: Eukaryota; Metazoa; Nematoda; Chromadorea; Rhabditida; Rhabditidae. The record is from RNAcentral.
UUUGAUUGAAUUUUGAUGGAG